This 301-nucleotide ribosomal RNA is filed under the name uncultured bacterium. RNAcentral's name for it is "partial 16S ribosomal RNA". It matches the Rfam family "Bacterial small subunit ribosomal RNA", at positions 509 to 807 of the family's 1533-position model. The record is from RNAcentral.
CAGUCGCCGCGGUAAUACGAACCGUGCGAACGUUAUUCGGAAUUACUGGGCUUGAAGCGCGUGUAGGCGGGUCGGCACGUCGGUCGCUGAAAUCCCCCGGCUCAACCGGGGAAGUGGCGCCGAUACGACCGGCCUGGAGGGGGGUAGGGGGGCCUGGAACUUCCGGUGGGGCGGUGAAAUGCGUUGAGAUCGGAAGGAACGCCCGUGGCGAAAGCGAGGCCCUGGACCCUUUCUGACGCUGAGACGCGAAAGCCAGGGGAGCGAACGGGAUUAGAUACCCCGGUAGUCCCUGUCUCUUAUA